UUCUGCUGGAGCCUCAAGUCCUUUACACGCAGCCUGUGGACAGAAGCAGACCUCUGUAGCGUUCAGCAGUUUGCUCUUCAAAUAUUACAAAAUGGCUGCAAGAAAAAGGCCGAAGUUUAGCAGUUUUCUGACGCCGAGUGUUUCCAAGAAGCCCAACCGCUGAGCAGUGGAACAAUCGAGGCAGAUUUGGAUGACGAUUGCAGAGACUCGAGAAUGGAUAGCGCCGUGUUUAGCAGACUGAAGAUUCAGUCACUGCCUGAAUUCAAUCCAAGGACAAUGUGAUAAUCCUGAGAUCAAAGCGAGUGUGGGACAGCUGGUAACAAUGAUGAUUUGAGCCGACUUAAGAUCUGCUGGGAUUCAGAUGAACGUUCUCAUUGAGCAGCUGGGAUGAGAGCAGUUGAUUGAUGACUCGAGAAAGAAGACAGCAGUCCUGCUGGUGACAGAUGGUGUCCUGGUUUCUUUAAUGGUGUCCCAACACCUUUUUUUUUUUUUUUAUUGCUGCCUCCUACGAGCUGACAGAACAAACCUGAGCGAGGCCACUUCCAGUUGAUGGGACCAAGAAUGUAUUUUGUCAUGUUGUAUUUGCUGAAUAAACAGUAACUGUUUUCAGAA
Stegastes partitus (bicolor damselfish) is the source of this 612-nucleotide long non-coding RNA. RefSeq lists it as uncharacterized. Lineage: Eukaryota; Metazoa; Chordata; Actinopteri; Pomacentridae. The record is from RefSeq and is a predicted model, not a curated record. The transcript has 5 exons.